CGCUCGCCUCAGCCUCCCAAAGUGCUGGGAUUACAGGCGUGAGCCACUGCGCCCGGCCUGGCCUCGUUCAGUUUAUCCACAGCACUGCGGUU
This 92-nucleotide microRNA precursor is filed under the name Chlorocebus sabaeus (green monkey). Its description in RNAcentral is "miRNA (ENSCSAG00000023427.1)". The record is from RNAcentral. Lineage: Eukaryota; Metazoa; Chordata; Mammalia; Primates; Cercopithecidae.